This 482-nucleotide ribosomal RNA is filed under the name uncultured bacterium. Its description in RNAcentral is "partial 16S ribosomal RNA". It matches the Rfam family "Bacterial small subunit ribosomal RNA", at positions 30 to 507 of the family's 1533-position model. The record is from RNAcentral.
AUUGAACGCUGGCGGCAUGCUUUACACAUGCAAGUCGAACGGUAACAGGCCGCAAGGUGCUGACGAGUGGCGAACGGGUGAGUAAUGCAUCGGAACGUGCCCAGUCGUGGGGGAUAACUACUCGAAAGAGUAGCUAAUACCUCAUACGAUCUAUGGAUGAAAGCGGGGGACCGUAAGGCCUCGCGCGAUUGGAGCGGCCGAUGUCAGAUUAGGUAGUUGGUGGGGUAAAGGCUCACCAAGCCAACGAUCUGUAGCUGGUCUGAGAGGACAACCAGCCACACUGGGACUGAGACACGGCCCAGACUCCUACGGGAGGCAGCAGUGGGGAAUUUUGGACAAUGGGCGCAAGCCUGACCCAGCAAUGCCGCGUGUAGGAAGAAGGCCUUCGGGUUGUAAACUGCUUUUGUACGGAACGAAACGGCUCUGGUUAAUACCCGGGGCUAAUGACGGUACCGUAAGAAUAAGCACCGGCUAACUACGUG